AAGCUCUUUUCCCUAAAGCACAGGAAAUAAUUUUGACUAUUGAGGAUCUAGCAGAUGACGCUUUCUAGGCUGCUCCAAAGCAUCGCAGAGAAAGACAACAACCUGGUUCCUAUUGGCAAGCCAGCCUCAGAGCACUAUGAUGACGAGGAAGAAGAGGAUGAUGAAGACGAUGAGGAUAGUGAAGAGGACUCAGAGGAUGAUGAGGACAUGCAGGACAUGGACGAGAUGAAUGACUACAAUGAGUCGCCUGAUGACGGAGAGGUCAAUGAGGUGGACAUGGAAGGCAACGAACAGGAUCAGGACCAGUGGAUGAUCUAGGUAGACAAGGCAGGGUGGCCUCAGAGAGAUUCCAGGCCAGCCCAAACUACCCUGCAUCCCAACCCCCAACCCCUGCCCACAGAACCAGCUGAUGGCCCCAGUGCCUGAAAGUGCCCUUGGGCACCUCCUCAGCUGCUGCCAGGAUCUGGUCUCCUUGGCCCCUCCCAGGCCAUCGAUCUGCACUUGAAAUCCCCAGGGCCUGAGCCCCACUCCACCUUCCUGGCCAGUACCUCACCCCUUGAUUGGCAGGUCUGGUCUCUUUCUAAGUUUCUUUAAUAAAGACAAAGGAGUGAUUUUCAAA
RNA transcript from Cercocebus atys (sooty mangabey), 619 nucleotides. It is a transcript of the gene named anaphase-promoting complex subunit 15 pseudogene, with no coding region annotated. The record is from RefSeq and is a predicted model, not a curated record. Lineage: Eukaryota; Metazoa; Chordata; Mammalia; Primates; Cercopithecidae. The transcript has a single exon.